GCCCUUAGAGUUUGAUCCUGGCUCAGGAUGAACGCUGGCGGUAUGCUUUACACAUGCAAGUCGUACGAGAGUUUUUAACUCAAGUGGCGGACGGGUGAGUAACACGUAAGAAUUUGCCUUUAGGAGGGGGAUAACAACUGGAAACGGUUGCUAAUACCCCAUAUGCUUUCGAGUAAAAUGGAUUUUCCGCCUAAAGAGAAGCUUGCGGCUGAUUAGCUUGUUGGUGAGGUAAUGGCUCACCAAGGCGACGAUCAGUAUCUGGUUUGAGAGGACGAUCAGACACACUGGAACUGAGACACGGUCCAGACUCCUACGGGAGGCAGCAGUGGGGAAUUUUCCGCAAUGGGCGAAAGCCUGACGGAGCAAUACCGCGUGAGGGGAUGACGGCCUAUGGGUUGUAAACCUCUUUUUUCAGGGAGGAAUCAAUGACGUGUACCUGAAGAAUAAGCAUCGGCUAACUCCGUGCCAGCAGCCGCGGUAAGACGGAGGAUGCAAGUGUUAUCUCGGAAUCACUGGGCGUAAAGCGUCUGUAGGUGGUCAAAUAAGUCAACUGUUAAAUCUUGAGGCUCCACCCUCCAAAUCGCAGUCGAAACUAUUCGACUAGAGUAUAGUAGGGGUAAAGGGGAAUUUCCAGUGGAGCGGUGAAAUGCGUAGAGAUUGGAAAGAACACCGAUGGCGAAGGCACUUUACUGGGCUAUUACUAACACUGAGAGACGAAAGCUAGGGUAGCAAAUGGGAUUAGAUACCCCAGUAGUCCUAGCCGUAAACAAUGGAUACUAGAUGUUGAACAGAUCGACCUGUGCAGUAUCAAAGCUAACGCGUUAAGUAUCCCGCCUGGGAAGUAUGCUCGCAAGAGUGAAACUCAAAUGAAUUGACGGGGAAGGGC
This 886-nucleotide ribosomal RNA is filed under the name uncultured bacterium. RNAcentral's name for it is "bacterial SSU rRNA". It matches the Rfam family "Bacterial small subunit ribosomal RNA", at positions 1 to 924 of the family's 1533-position model. The record is from RNAcentral.